ACGCUGGCGGCGUGCCUAAUACAUGCAAGUAGAACGCUGAAGGAGGAGCUUGCUUCUCUGGAUGAGUUGCGAACGGGUGAGUAACGCGUAGGUAACCUGCCUGGUAGCGGGGGAUAACUAUUGGAAACGAUAGCUAAUACCGCAUAACAGUAGAUGUUGCAUGACAUUUGCUUAAAAGGUGCAAUUGCAUCACUACCAGAUGGACCUGCGUUGUAUUAGCUAGUUGGUGGGGUAACGGCUCACCAAGGCGACGAUACAUAGCCGACCUGAGAGGGUGAUCGGCCACACUGGGACUGAGACACGGCCCAGACUCCUACGGGAGGCAGCAGUAGGGAAUCUUCGGCAAUGGACGGAAGUCUGACCGAGCAACGCCGCGUGAGUGAAGAAGGUUUUCGGAUCGUAAAGCUCUGUUGUAAGAGAAGAACGAGUGUGAGAGUGGAAAGUUCACACUGUGACGGUAUCUUACCAGAAAGGGACGGCUAACUACGUGCCAGCAGCCGCGGUAAUACGUAGGUCCCGAGCGUUGUCCGGAUUUAUUGGGCGUAAAGCGAGCGCAGGCGGUUAGAUAAGUCUGAAGUUAAAGGCUGAGGCUUAACCAUAGUACGCUUUGGAAACUGUUUAACUUGAGUGCAAGAGGGGAGAGUGGAAUUCCAUGUGUAGCGGUGAAAUGCGUAGAUAUAUGGAGGAACACCGGUGGCGAAAGCGGCUCUCUGGCUUAUAACUGACGCUGAGGCUCGAAAGCGUGUGGAGCAAACAGGAUUAGAUACCCUGGUAGUCCACGCCGUAAACGAUGAGUGCUAGGUGUUAGACCCUUUCCGGGGUUUAGUGCCGCAGCUAACGCAUUAAGCACUCCGCCUGGGGAGUACGACCGCAAGGUUGAAACUCAAAGGAAUUGACCGGGGGCCCGCACAA
Molecule: ribosomal RNA, 912 nt
Filed under: uncultured bacterium
Lineage: Bacteria
Description: bacterial SSU rRNA
Rfam family: Bacterial small subunit ribosomal RNA
Source: RNAcentral